GGAAGGUGCAAGCGUUAAUCGGAAUUACUGGGGCGUAAAGCGCGCGUAGGCGGCUAGAUAAGUCGGGUGUGAAAGCCCUGGGGCUCAACCUGGGGAACUGCAUUCGAUACUGUCUAGCUAGAGUGUGGUAGAGGGAGGCGGAAUUCCGCAUGCAGCGGUGAAAUGCGUAGAGAUGCGGAGGAACACCAAUGGCGAAGGCAGCCUUCUGGACCAACACUGACGCUGAGGCGCGAAAGCGUGGGGAGCAAACAGGAUUAGAUACCCUGGUAGUCCACGCCGUAAACGAUGUCAACUAGCCGUUGGGAGCAAUUUGGUUCUUGGUGGCGCAGCUAACGCGAUAAGUUGACCGCCUGGGGAGUACGGUCGCAAGAUUA
Molecule: ribosomal RNA, 374 nt
Filed under: uncultured organism
Description: partial 16S ribosomal RNA
Rfam family: Bacterial small subunit ribosomal RNA
Source: RNAcentral